UGUGUCAUAUCGUGUACAGCUCCAAAAAGAGGCACUAGUCAUGAGUGCCGAAGGUGCGGGCCCACAGAAGUGAGUCUUUCUGCAUACGCAAAGCACAUUUCUGGCCAGCUGCACAAAGAUAACGUUGAUGCCCAGGAAAGAGAAGAUGAUGGAAAAGGAGAGGAAGAGGAAGAAGAUUAUUUUGACAAGGAACUCAUUCAAUUAAUAAAACAAAGGAAAGAACAAAGUCGACAAGAACCUUCCAGUAGCAGCCAAGAAGUAAAUUCUGAUGACAGGUGACCCCAAUGGAGCUGAGAACACCAAAUUCCUCACCAACACAGACAGAGUUACAGUCAGCCAGCAUGGCAUCACCCUGGACCUCCACAGGAGGAUUGUAAUUGGAAAAAAGAUCGCUUUAAUAAUACAUGGAGAAACAGCUUUCUGUAUUCUUUGAGGAAUAGUGGUGGACCAAAAGGAUGUUCUGAGUGGCAUUAGAGUGUUGCAGGAGGCUCCUUGACUUGGUUUCACAACCAUAGUAAUUCUGGAGUUGGUUGGCAUUCAAAUAGUGGAACAGUAGAUUGGAAUCAUAAUGGUACAGGAAGGAAUUCCAGUUGGCAUUCUGAGGGAACAGGUGACUUUUCCAGUUGGCAUAUGAACAACAGUAACGGAAACUAGAAAUCCAGUGUAUGUAGUAAAAAUAAUUGCAACUAAAGUGGCCCUGGACAUAAAUUUCAACCAGGCAGAAACAGAAAUUCUACUUGUCAAAUGGAAGAUGUGACUAUGCUAUGGAACAAGAAAUCAAAUAAGUCAAGCAAAUACAAUCAAGAAAGAUAUAAUUGGUAGUGUCAAGAAAAUGAGAAACUUGGAAUGACAAACUUUGUACGGCUGCCACAUAUAGAGGUCCUUCUGAAAGAUUUACAAGUGAUAAAUUUCCUUCGGAAGGCUUACUUGACUUCAAUUUUGAGCAGCCAGAAAGCCAAACCACUAAACAAACAGACACUGCAACUUCCAAAAUUAGUGGAAAGAACAGCAGUGCAGCAACGGGGAAAGCCUUGUUGCCAGACUCCUUACCCUUCUAAAAUAAAAAUUAAAAAGGAAAAAGAUUUGGUAGUACUCAAGUUGAAGGAAGGAAACAUGACAAACUUAGAGGAAGCAUAAGGAAUUUCAUAUGCACUUCUU
This 1158-nucleotide long non-coding RNA is filed under the name Homo sapiens (human). Its description in RNAcentral is "non-protein coding lnc-C1GALT1C1L-5:1". Lineage: Eukaryota; Metazoa; Chordata; Mammalia; Primates; Hominidae. The record is from RNAcentral.